Molecule: ribosomal RNA, 438 nt
Filed under: uncultured Leisingera sp.
Lineage: Bacteria; Pseudomonadati; Pseudomonadota; Alphaproteobacteria; Rhodobacterales; Roseobacteraceae
Description: bacterial SSU rRNA
Rfam family: Bacterial small subunit ribosomal RNA
Source: RNAcentral
GGCGGACGGGUUAGUAACGCGUGGGAACGUGCCCUUCUCUACGGAAUAGCCUCUGGAAACGGAGAGUAAUACCGUAUACGCCCUUUGGGGGAAAGAUUUAUCGGAGAAGGAUCGGCCCGCGUUAGAUUAGGUAGUUGGUGGGGUAACGGCCUACCAAGCCUACGAUCUAUAGCUGGUUUUAGAGGAUGAUCAGCAACACUGGGACUGAGACACGGCCCAGACUCCUACGGGAGGCAGCAGUGGGGAAUCUUAGACAAUGGGGGCAACCCUGAUCUAGCCAUGCCGCGUGAGUGAUGAAGGCCUUAGGGUCGUAAAGCUCUUUCGCCUGUGAUGAUAAUGACAGUAGCAGGUAAAGAAACCCCGGCUAACUCCGUGCCAGCAGCCGCGGUAAUACGGAGGGGGUUAGCGUUGUUCGGAAUUACUGGGCGUAAAGCGCGC